GCGGAGGGAUCAUUACCGAGUUAUACAACUCCCAAACCCACUGUGAACCUUACCUCAGGUUGCCUCGGCGGGAACGCCCCGGCCGCCUGCCCCCGCGCCGGCGCCGGACCCAGGCGCCCGCCGCAGGGACCCCAAACUCUCUUGCAUUACGCCCAGCGGGCGGAAUUUCUUCUCUGAGUUGCACAAGCAAAAACAAAUGAAUCAAAACUUUCAACAACGGAUCUCUUGGUUCUGGCAUCGAUGAAGAACGCAGCGAAAUGCGAUAAGUAAUGUGAAUUGCAGAAUUCAGUGAAUCAUCGAAUCUUUGAACGCACAUUGCGCCCGCCAGCAUUCUGGCGGGCAUGCCUGUUCGAGCGUCAUUUCAACCCUCGAGCCCCCCCGGGGGCCUCGGUGUUGGGGGACGGCACACCAGCCGCCCCCGAAAUGCAGUGGCGACCCCGCCGCAGCCUCCCCUGCGUAGUAGCACACACCUCGCACCGGAGCGCGGAGGCGGUCACGCCGUAAAACGCCCAACUUUCUUAGAGUUGACCUCGGAUCAGGUAG
RNAcentral lists this ribosomal RNA (543 nucleotides) under Purpureocillium aff. lilacinum ROG-2010. Its description in RNAcentral is "eukaryotic LSU rRNA". The stretch from base 206 to 359 matches the Rfam family "5.8S ribosomal RNA". Lineage: Eukaryota; Fungi; Ascomycota; Sordariomycetes; Hypocreales; Ophiocordycipitaceae. The record is from RNAcentral.